RNAcentral lists this ribosomal RNA (253 nucleotides) under uncultured bacterium. RNAcentral's name for it is "partial 16S ribosomal RNA". It matches the Rfam family "Bacterial small subunit ribosomal RNA", at positions 524 to 776 of the family's 1533-position model. The record is from RNAcentral.
UACGGGGGGAGCAAGCGUUGUUCGGAUUUACUGGGCGUAAAGGGUGCGUAGGCGGCGCGGUAAGUCGGGUGUGAAAUCUUGGAGCUUAACUCCGAAACUGCAUUCGAUACUGCCGUGCUUGAGGACUGGAGAGGAGACUGGAAUUUACGGUGUAGCGGUGAAAUGCGUAGAUAUCGUAAGGAAGACCAGUGGCGAAGGCGGGUCUCUGGACAGUUCCUGACGCUGAGGCACAAAGGCCAGGGGAGCAAACGGG